AUUGAACGCUGGCGGCAUGCCUUACACAUGCAAGUCGAACGGCAGCACGGGAGCUUGCUCCUGGUGGCGAGUGGCGAACGGGUGAGUAAUACAUCGGAACGUACCCUGAAGUGGGGGAUAACGUAGCGAAAGUUACGCUAAUACCGCAUAUUCUGUGAGCAGGAAAGAGGGGGAUCGCAAGACCUCUUGCUUUAGGAGCGGCCGAUGUCGGAUUAGCUAGUUGGUGAGGUAAAGGCUCACCAAGGCGACGAUCCGUAGCGGGUCUGAGAGGAUGAUCCGCCACACUGGGACUGAGACACGGCCCAGACUCCUACGGGAGGCAGCAGUGGGGAAUUUUGGACAAUGGGCGCAAGCCUGAUCCAGCCAUGCCGCGUGAGUGAAGAAGGCCUUCGGGUUGUAAAGACUCUUUCGGUGGGGUAAGGAAAGUUAGCUUCGGUUAAUACCUGGAGUAGAUGACGGUACCCGCAUAAGAAGACACCGGCUAACUACGUGCCAGCAGCCGCGGUAAUCG
RNAcentral lists this ribosomal RNA (511 nucleotides) under uncultured bacterium. RNAcentral describes it as "bacterial SSU rRNA". It matches the Rfam family "Bacterial small subunit ribosomal RNA", at positions 30 to 527 of the family's 1533-position model. The record is from RNAcentral.